This 535-nucleotide ribosomal RNA is filed under the name uncultured fungus. RNAcentral's name for it is "eukaryotic LSU rRNA". It matches the Rfam family "Eukaryotic large subunit ribosomal RNA", at positions 70 to 626 of the family's 3401-position model. The record is from RNAcentral. Lineage: Eukaryota; Fungi.
CAGGAUUCCCCUAGUAACGGCGAGCGAACCGGGAACAGCCCAAGCCGAGAAUCCACGGUGCUUGCGCCUUGGAGUUGUGGCCUGGCGAGGUGUCUCCUGCGGGAACCGGUGCCCAAGUCUCCUGGAAAGGAGGGUCCGAGAGGGUGAGAACCCCGUCGGCCCCGGUGGCCCCGCUCCACGGAACGCCUUCGGAGAGUCUUGUUGUUUGGGAAUGCAGCAAAAAGUGGGUGGUAAAUCCCAUCUAAGGCUAAAUACCGACGGGAGACCGAUAGCGAACAAGUACCGCGAGGGAAAGAUGAAAAGAACUUUGAAAAGAGAGUUAAAAAGUGCUUGAAAUUGUUGAGGGGGAAGGCAUUCCAAGUCACAGCUGCCGCCCGUACUCCCAUCGUCCGAGAGGGCUUUGGAAUUUUCGGGCGGCGUGCCGGCAUCGAUCGGCGGCGCGGGACAAAGUAGUCCUUUGAUCGGUCUGCCAUGCCGUGUCGCCGAUCGAGGAAGCGGGGAGCCCCGGUCCUUCGGAACUGCUCCCCUCGGAUGC